Molecule: ribosomal RNA, 253 nt
Filed under: uncultured bacterium
Lineage: Bacteria
Description: partial 16S ribosomal RNA
Rfam family: Bacterial small subunit ribosomal RNA
Source: RNAcentral
UACGGGGGGGGCAAGCGUUGUUCGGAAUUACUGGGCGUAAAGGGCUCGUAGGCGGCCAUCUAAGUCAGACGUGAAAUCCCUCGGCUUAACCGGGGAACUGCAUCUGAUACUGGAUGGCUUGAGUUCGGGAGAGGGAUGCGGAAUUCCAGGUGUAGCGGUGAAAUGCGUAGAUAUCUGGAGGAACACCGGUGGCGAAGGCGGCAUCCUGGACCGACACUGACGCUGAGGAGCGAAAGCCAGGGGAGCAAACGGG